RNAcentral lists this ribosomal RNA (429 nucleotides) under Gemmatimonadota bacterium. RNAcentral describes it as "Gemmatimonadetes bacterium partial 16S ribosomal RNA". It matches the Rfam family "Bacterial small subunit ribosomal RNA", at positions 355 to 776 of the family's 1533-position model. The record is from RNAcentral. Lineage: Bacteria; Pseudomonadati; Gemmatimonadota.
UAGGGAAUCUUCGGCAAUGGACGAAAGUCUGACCGAGCAACGCCGCGUGAGUGAAGAAGGUUUUCGGAUCGUAAAACUCUGUUGUUAGAGAAGAACAAGGACGUUAGUAACUGAACGUCCCCUGACGGUAUCUAACCAGAAAGCCACGGCUAACUACGUGCCAGCAGCCGCGGUAAUACGUAGGUGGCAAGCGUUGUCCGGAUUUAUUGGGCGUAAAGCGAGCGCAGGCGGUUUCUUAAGUCUGAUGUGAAAGCCCCCGGCUCAACCGGGGAGGGUCAUUGGAAACUGGGAGACUUGAGUGCAGAAGAGGAGAGUGGAAUUCCAUGUGUAGCGGUGAAGUGCGUAGAUAUAUGGAGGAACACCAGUGGCGAAGGCGGCUCUCUGGUCUGUAACUGGCGCUGAGGCGCGAAAGCGUGGGGAGCAAACAGG